CGGAACACGUACAGAACCUUCCUUUAAGCGGGGGAUAGCCCAUAGAAAUGUGGAUUAAUACCCCAUAGUAAUGUUGAGUGGCAUCACUUAAUAUUUAAAGAUUUAUCACUUAAAGAUGGCUGUGCGGCUGAUUAGGUAGUUGGUGUGGGUAACGGCCCACCAAGCCUGCGAUCAGUAACUGGUGUGAGAGCACGACCAGUCACACGGGCACUGAGACACGGGCCCG
Molecule: ribosomal RNA, 226 nt
Filed under: uncultured bacterium
Lineage: Bacteria
Description: partial 16S ribosomal RNA
Rfam family: Bacterial small subunit ribosomal RNA
Source: RNAcentral